ACCCUACUCUGUGCAGGCGAUUCAUCUUUUUGGUUAGGUCCUUGGAUUUAAUAGUCUUUGAGGUCUCUUCAGCUUUACAAAUGAAGAUUCUGAAUGAACUUAUUUCCAGCUAACUCUUAAUUCGUGAAUGUUUGAAAGUCAUCAAAUAGCAGAGGCUAACUGGCAGCCUGUUUCAUUAGUGAGCCUGAGAGGAGCUUCCCUGCCUUGUGUGAUUGUGUUGGGCUUUAGGAGGAUGAAUUUGGAAUGUUACGGUGUUCCUACGUCCAACUCGGCUCUGUCCUUCACCUGCGUGUGGUACUCUGUGAUCAUCACAGCAGGCAUGGCCUACAUCUUCCUGAUCCAGCUGAUCAACAUCAGCUACAAUGUGACUGAGCGGGAAGUGCAGCAGGCCCUCCGACAGAAGACUGGGCGCCGGCUCCUCUGCGGGCUCAUCGUGGACACAGGCCAGUACAAUAGGGGCUUCCUGCGGAACUGGCACCAGUUCUCCACCCUGGGCACACGUGCAUUCCACCACCCUGCCGAGGACAUUGUCUGAAGUGCCUUCUGUGUGGCUUUCUGAGGGAUGAUGGCUCCUCCUUCCGUCUCCCUUCCAUUUUACACUUCAGUGUCCAUUUCUAUCCCCAGUUUCUUAAAGGCAUUAUAGGGCCACGCUCAGGUUUAGAGACUGGAGUGGGAAGAAGUUAAUUUUUCUGAUGCCACAACUUAAGAGACUUCUAUACUGAAGCAGUAGAAGUAGAGCCAUUCCUUUCCAGUCACCUUUUUAAUUGACUCAAUUGCCUGAACUUGAGAAGGAUGUGGAUUGCUAAUGCACAAAUUGAUAGAAGCAAUUCCCAUCCAUUAGUAUGGGGGAAAGAGUUUUGGAUUAGGAUAGUUUCUAGUCCCUCUUUCGAUUCUUAAUAGCCAUGUGACCCCUAGCUGGGUCACUUUCCCCAGUCUCAGGGUCAUCUGCAAAGUGGGGUACUGAUGCCUGCCCUGGCUACCUCACAGAGUCGUCACGAGGGUCACGUGAGGGAUGAUGGAUGUGGAAAGCACUAAAAAACAACUCAAGCACCAUGGAAAUACAAAGUAUUAGGAAAAUAUUAUGAUGGAAGAAAAACGUUUAUAGGUUAGAAUAUUGAAGCCAAUAUUAUUAGGGUAAUCAGUUUUCAGCAUAUACCGUGUUGUACAGUUAUGAGAAUUUCUCCUUCUUAAGUAUUAGACAUGAACUACUCAAACAGAGAUGACGACCAGAUGGAUUGAUGCUAAGUUGUCUGAUCUUGAAAAGACAGUUGACAACAGUUAUAAAGAUAAUUAUUGUUAGUGUAAUGUACAGUGGCCAUGAGUUUCGGUGAUGAGUUCUUCUAUUUAUUUUUUAUGAAUUCUGCUUGGGUUUCUUAUAAAUAACUCCAACAGGCAUUCAUGUGUUUUUCCUCUUCCCAUGUUUCACCAGGUAAGGUGCUAGCACACUUGUGACUGUGGCUGGAAGAGGAGAACAGACACUCCUGUGGGGAUGCUUUACUCUCUUUUCUGGUAGGAAGGCUGAGUAACAUCAAGGGCUCAAUUAUUUUCUUCAUGUAUUUCAAAUGCUGUCAGUUAUAGCAUUAAAUUGUGAAAAUCAGCCUUCUGGCAUUCACAUUAUUCCAGUAUGAACUUUGAGGAGUUGAGUGACAUCUUCCCACUUAACUUGCACAUUAAUUCUCAAUUACACCCCUCCCUAAAUAACAGUAUCUCACUAGGAGAGAAGAAACAGGGUAUAUGUGGUUUCCACUAUUAAUGGAUUCCUGUUCUUCCCUGGCUCUUCCGACAAUAACAAGUUGUUUCUUUAAUCAUAGCUUAAAACCGAAAAUGUAUAAAAGAUUAAAUAUUUAUGUACAAUGGGUUGUUCUGCUAUAGAAUUAAGAUGAGGGAAUUUCAGAUGAGGAAAAUACCCUUUUGAAAUGUUGGUUUUGUACAUGUACUGUUUUGCAAUCCCAAAGAUAAUUCAUGACUCCUUAAAUUUGCCUUGGCUUAUAGCUUAAUAUAGGGAAAAUCUCGCCAGCGUUUUCAGUCAUUCUGUGCAUGCUGCUUUAAGCAAGAGAUUUGUAUUUGUUGAGAGGAAAUAUUGCUACUUCCUGCACUUCACCCUCUGCAGCCAGCACCAUCCCUACUGUUGCCAUUAAUUGGAGCCGUCCUUAAGAUGGUCACCAUAUUCUUAUUCAGGCUGCCGUCGUUUUCCCCAGAGAUGGUUUGUUUAACGAGUGAUAGGCUCUGUGCCUGGGGAUGUUAGCAAACUCUGGGGUUUGUACAGUGAUGCCUUCUCCCUGGCCCAGAGCUGAAUAUUCACCUAGAAUUAAAGUUGGAUUUGAUAUAACAAAUUUCUUUCUAUACAGGUUUUAGAUAAGAGAGAUAGUAAUAAUGUCAAGAAUAGCCUAUUGGGCAGAAAUUGGUAGUCGUGCUUUUGAAUGUCAGCUGUAGAGCCAACUCUGAUUAUCUAGCCAUUGAUGAUACAAAUUCAUAGAAACAUUAGUAUGGUCAGUAAUUUUAGCUUCUUGCCAAAUUGUUCACAACACCUAAAUGUAAUGUGAUGUGAUGAAGAUGAGUAGUACAAAGAGACCAAAGUCAUUUGGGAGAAUUAGGAAUGAUGACAAUUUUUUUUAACAACUUACCUCUAAUAGGGUUACUUGGAUGAGCCAACUCAGCUUCCUUCCCAUGGAUAGGAAGGGACUCUGUAUAUUAUUCAGGUUUAUUGGCACGAAGAUACUUAAGUUCCUUGAGAAUCCAUGAUGGACAGUUUACAGAAUGCUUAAACCUGUCAAAAGAUCAGUGAUUUUGUGUGGGAAAAGCCUUCCCAGGCGUCUGUACCGAAAGGAGCAGCAAACAAGGGGCUAAUCCAUGAGCAGUGUUCUGUACGCUCUGUGACAUCUUUGGUUUAUAGGAUAUUGGAGCCUUUUAUGAUCUGGAACUAUUUGAGGGGUUUCAUUAUAGGCCUUGGUUCUCUCCAGAGGCCAGAUGAGUUUAUUGUGGAAUCUUUGAAAGGACAAGGCCUCUGUGAAUGAAUCAGUCCCAGGGAAGCAUUUGGUGGUGGCGGCAGUGGAGGAUUGCCCUGUGAACCUAUAAAUCAGCAGUCUCUUGGGCAGAGGAGCAAGCCCCUCGGACAUGAUUUCAAACAAGCAGGUCCUCUUCUCUCAUCUCACGUCUUCAAUCUCUGUUAAUGAACGUACUGGAUGUGGAGUUUAAUAAAUUACCUACUGUCAUCUGGCCACUUAGAUUAUUAUCACACCACUGUAGACUGUUCCUGGGGGGAGAAGAAUAGACCGAUUUGAAAGAUUCAAGGGAGAAAGAGUUAAGGAUCAGGACUGCAUAAAAGAGGAAAAUCCUUCAAUACUUACAAUGUUUCUUACGAUACCCACAGAGUACUUUUAUGGUUCCAGCCGAGCGUUCCUGAAAUGAACUGACCAUUAACAGCGCCUCUUUGAUAGGUUACCCUGAUGCUGCUAAAGUAAAGCCUUAAGUGUGUUUUUGGGACAACGUGCUGCUUAUUUCACCUCAGCCGCAUAUGUGUUUGUGUUUAGGAUAUUGUAAAUCUUUGCUAAGUAGUGUUUUCCUUGGUGAAUGAAGUCAUUGUUGUCUUCAAGUGUACCAUCUGCCUAGCAAAAAAUUGCUACAAACUUUCUCUUAUGCAAUCAAUAGUCCUUGGUACUUCUAAUAUUUUUAGCAAGAGACAGUUUUCUGUACUAGAAUCUUCCACUGCCAGAAAACACAGUGCCAGUAAGGUUCUACAUACCACUGACCAUCUGCUUAAUAGACAUGUAUUUCCUUUGAGUAGGACAUUAGCUUUUUAUUAUAAAGCUCAACUAGUAUAAGCAAAAAUAUAACAUCUAGAAGCACAGUUUUAGCCAGGAUGUUUAAAAAUUACAGUUUUGUGAGACUUAAGGGUCUUUUUAACCUAGGUAAGUUUAUAUGACCUAACUUCAUUGUAGCCAUAUUCUGGUACCUUCCAUUUUGAAAAGUAGAGGUUUCUUAAGCAAGCAAUGGAUAAUAAGAGACUUUUCCUGAGGCACCUGUUUGGAAUCUGGUUUUCUCAGCGGCAGCUUGACACGUGCACCCUUUUGUAUUAAACACUGCAAAGGUGAUGCAGGGGAGCAGGAAAGCCAUGCUGAACUCACUACUGAGUACAAUUCAGUAUGUUCCUGUGGAUGUUUGCUGUGACUAAUAUAAAUUUCUUGCAGAAUCAGCUACACUUAAUUAUGUUGCUGAUAGACAAGCAUCCACGCUUCAGCUGGCACUAAGUGUUUUCACUGUAGGAUCAGCAGCAGGUUAAAGACAGAACGGUUAGUGGAGACAAAUGUCUUAGAGGCUGCACGAUGUCUAGGUUGGGCUUGUGACUUAUUAGUGGCCUAGCCUUCUUGAUGGCACCUUGAAAGUGAACUUCUAGAAAUUUACAUUUAAAAGGCAAAGCUUUAAAAGCAGAGCUAGUCUAUUCUAGUUAUUGAUGCAGCUAAAAUUCUGUAUUUCUUAAGAUGGAGCCACUGACGAGAUGUCACAUUAUAGAGCCUGCAAUCUCAACUCAUUGUGAUCCUAAUGGUCUGGGUGAUUGGAUGGUUUGAGUUGUUAGGGAUUUUGAGUUUUUCAUUUUAUUGCGUAUCUGGGUUGGAUGUUAGACUAAAGGAAACCCAGGAAUAUUUACCUGGUGUUACAUUUAAUAUUUAAUGUGACUGGUCUAGCAACAUUAAGGGGGAUUUCUGAAGCCAACUCCGGAGGCUGUGGGCUGCACAUUUUGCACUGUUUUUAUAUACUUGUAUUCAUAUCCUCUUAUCACCUCAGACUCAGACACAAGGCCUUUUACAUGGAAAUUUUACAAAUUACUGCCAUUUAUGUAAAAUAAUGUCCUGUGACCAAGUUGUUUAAAUGGAAAAUAAAGUGCUUUCUUUAAGGAAAAUAGCUGGUGUUUCUUGGAGUGUCUCCUGAAGUCUUCUGAUUUCCGAAAACCCUGCAUUAUACCUGUGCUGCCUCUGUGGCUCCCUCGAUGUCCCUGUCCUGCGGCCCUGUCCCUAGCCCUAAACUGUUAAGUUCCCGGUGGCAAUUUCUCCAGUUUUGUGGGUCAGGGAUACUGCUUGUUGGGGCAUUAUGUUAACAGUAACAUUUUGAAACAUACCUUCAUGAUAGUCCAGCAAAAAACAGCAUCAAAACUAUUUCCAUUGUAUCUCUUGAGAAGGCUCUGUAUUUGGUAAAAAGUCUAGCUGGUUCCAUUGGAAUGUGGGCUGCUAAAGACUCAAUUUCUAGUUGAUGUUUGAGGUGAGGCAAAAAUAAAGCUAAGAUAG
Molecule: small RNA, 5279 nt
Filed under: Pongo abelii (Sumatran orangutan)
Lineage: Eukaryota; Metazoa; Chordata; Mammalia; Primates; Hominidae
Description: processed transcript
Source: RNAcentral